CCUACGGGAGGCAGCAGUGGGGAAUUUUACGCAAUGGGCGAAAGCCUGACGUAGCGACACCGCGUGAGCGAAGAAGCCCUUUGGGGUGUAAGACUCUGUCAGCUGGAACGAAAAAAAUGACGGUACCAGCAGAGGAAGCAUCGGCUAACUACGUGCCAGCAGCCGCGGUAAGACGUAGGAUGCAAGCGUUGUCCGGAUUUAUUGGGCGUAAAGAGUUCGUAGGUGGUUUGUUAAGUUUGGUGUUAAAGAUUGGGGCUCAACCCUGAAACUGCACUGAAUACUGGCAGACUCGAGUGUGGUAGAGGCUAGUGGAAUUCCCAGUGUAGCGGUGAAAUGCGUAGAUAUUGGGAAGAACACCGGUGGCGUAGGCGACUAGCUGGGCCAUAACUGACACUGAGGAACGAAAGCCAGGGGAGCGAAUGGGAUUAGAUACCCCAGUAGUCCUGGCCGUAAACGAUGGAUACUAGGCGUAUCGGGUAUCGACCCCUGAUGUGCCGCAGCUAACGCGAUAAGUAUCCCGCCUGAGUAGUACGGCCGCAAGGUUGAAACUCAAAGGAAUUGACGG
RNAcentral lists this ribosomal RNA (565 nucleotides) under uncultured bacterium. Its description in RNAcentral is "bacterial SSU rRNA". It matches the Rfam family "Bacterial small subunit ribosomal RNA", at positions 338 to 916 of the family's 1533-position model. The record is from RNAcentral.